UGGGGUGGGGCUCAGCGGUAGAGCGCACGCCUAGCAUGCGUGAGGCACUGGGUUCGAUCCUCAGCACACCAC
This 72-nucleotide transfer RNA is filed under the name Marmota monax (woodchuck). It matches the Rfam family "tRNA". From Rfam's summary of the family: Transfer RNA (tRNA) molecules are approximately 80 nucleotides in length. Their secondary structure includes four short double-helical elements and three loops (D, anti-codon, and T loops). Further hydrogen bonds mediate the characteristic L-shaped molecular structure. tRNAs have two regions of fundamental functional importance: the anti-codon, which is responsible for specific mRNA codon recognition, and the 3' end, to which the tRNAs corresponding amino acid is attached (by aminoacyl-tRNA synthetases). tRNAs cope with the degeneracy of the genetic code in two manners: having more than one tRNA (with a specific anti-codon) for a particular amino acid; and 'wobble' base-pairing, i.e. permitting non-standard base-pairing at the 3rd anti-codon position. Lineage: Eukaryota; Metazoa; Chordata; Mammalia; Rodentia; Sciuridae. The record is from Rfam by way of RNAcentral.